This 46-nucleotide non-coding RNA is filed under the name Schistosoma margrebowiei. The record is from RNAcentral. Lineage: Eukaryota; Metazoa; Platyhelminthes; Trematoda; Strigeidida; Schistosomatidae.
GCACAGCUGAAGAGUUCCAUACUAGGACGAAACGGCCGUCCAAUGC